GACGAACGCUGGCGGCGUGCUUAACACAUGCAAGUCGAGCGGGAAACUUCGGUUUCCAGCGGCGGACGGGUGAGUAACACGUGGGCAACCUGCCUCACAAUGAGGGAUAGCCUUCCGAAAGGAAGAUUAAUACCUCAUAACACAAGAGAAACGCAUGUUUCUUUUGCCAAAGAAUUUCGUUGUGAGAUGGGCCCGCGGCGCAUUAGCUUGUUGGUGAGGUAACGGCUCACCAAGGCUUCGAUGCGUAGCCGACCUGAGAGGGUGAUCGGCCACGUUGGAACUGAGACACGGUCCAGACUCCUACGGGUGGCAGCAGUGGGGAAUAUUGCACAAUGGAGGAAACUCUGAUGCAGCAACGCCGCGUGAGUGAUGAAGGUCUUCGGGUUGUAAAGCUCUGUCUUCUGGGACGAUAAUGACGGUACCAGAGGAGGAAGCCACGGCUAACUACGUGCCAGCCGCCGCAGUAA
Molecule: ribosomal RNA, 467 nt
Filed under: uncultured bacterium
Lineage: Bacteria
Description: partial 16S ribosomal RNA
Rfam family: Bacterial small subunit ribosomal RNA
Source: RNAcentral